UGGUGAAGCUGUGAUAGAGCGAUGAAGGAAAAAGUGGUGUUGUUUGUUGUCACAAAGCGCGGAGAGGGGAGGUGAUGGCGAAACAGAGAGAGAACGCGAGAAGGAGAGAAUCUGGAACCCAUCAGCAGCUGGGUCUACACUAGAAUCGAAGAUGGCGAUGAGAUCGCCAAGAAAUCCCAAUCCCAAUCGCAAAGAAAUCCCAAUUGCAUCUGACCAAAAUCACUUUGCCUAAUUACCCUAAUUUCAAUUUUAAUUUUAACCCUAAUUUAUUACAUUUCCACGUCACAAUUAAUAAUUUUUUUUAACACAUA
This 311-nucleotide long non-coding RNA is filed under the name Vigna radiata. RNAcentral describes it as "long non-coding RNA (VRAD_LNC005040)". Lineage: Eukaryota; Viridiplantae; Streptophyta; Magnoliopsida; Fabales; Fabaceae. The record is from RNAcentral.